Molecule: ribosomal RNA, 484 nt
Filed under: uncultured bacterium
Lineage: Bacteria
Description: partial 16S ribosomal RNA
Rfam family: Bacterial small subunit ribosomal RNA
Source: RNAcentral
AUUGAACGCUGGCGGCAGGCCUAACACAUGCAAGUCGAGCGGAUGAAGGGAGCUUGCUCCUGGAUUCAGCGGCGGACGGGUGAGUAAUGCCUAGGAAUCUGCCUGGUAGUGGGGGAUAACGUCCGGAAACGGGCGCUAAUACCGCAUACGUCCUGAGGGAGAAAGUGGGUGAUCUUCGGACCUCACGCUAUCAGAUGAGCCUAGGUCGGAUUAGCUAGUUGGUGGGGUAAAGGCCUACCAAGGCGACGAUCCGUAACUGGUCUGAGAGGAUGAUCAGUCACACUGGAACUGAGACACGGUCCAGACUCCUACGGGAGGCAGCAGUGGGGAAUAUUGGACGAUGGGCGAAAGCCUGAUCCAGCCAUGCCGCGUGUGUGAAGAAGGUCUUCGGAUUGUAAAGCACUUUAAGUUGGGAGGAAGGGCAGUAAGUUAAUACCUUGCUGUUUUGACGUUACCAACAGAAUAAGCACCGGCUAACUUCGUG